Molecule: ribosomal RNA, 497 nt
Filed under: uncultured bacterium
Lineage: Bacteria
Description: partial 16S ribosomal RNA
Rfam family: Bacterial small subunit ribosomal RNA
Source: RNAcentral
GAUGAACGCUGGCGGCGUGCCUAAUACAUGCAAGUCGAGCGAACAGACGAGGAGCUUGCUCCUCUGACGUUAGCGGCGGACGGGUGAGUAACACGUGGAUAACCUACCUAUAAGACUGGGAUAACUUCGGGAAACCGGAGCUAAUACCGGAUAAUAUAUUGAACCGCAUGGUUCAAUAGUGAAAGACGGUAUUGCUGUCACUUAUAGAUGGAUCCGCGCCGCAUUAGCUAGUUGGUAAGGUAACGGCUUACCAAGGCAACGAUGCGUAGCCGACCUGAGAGGGUGAUCGGCCACACUGGAACUGAGACACGGUCCAGACUCCUACGGGAGGCAGCAGUAGGGAAUCUUCCGCAAUGGGCGAAAGCUUGACGGAGCAACGCCGCGUGAGUGAUGAAGGUCUUCGGAUCGUAAAACUCUGUUAUUAGGGAAGAACAAAUGUGUAAGUAACUAUGCACGUCUUGACGGUACCUAAUCAGAAAGCCACGGCUAACUACGUG